UGACGCCGUCACCAGCUGGACCAUCCGCGGCCCUGGACCAUCCAGCGACGGCCGUGACGCCGUCACCAGCUGGACCAUCCGCGGCACUGGACCAUCCAGCGACGGCCGUGGCGUCGACUCUGCCAGUGCCGGAGAGGUCGGCGACGUCACCUGCGCCGCUGGUGUCAACACCGCAUGGACGCCAGCUGCGAGCUGGUAAACGGCGGUGGAGUGGAAGCAGAGCGCGCAAGCCACCAGCCAGCUGACUCAGAGCCCAGGGGGCGUUCGCCACCAACAUCCGCACGGCGCAGCUGCAGAGGUGAUUUCUGCCAUGGAGCAGCAUCCGCGGCUCCAUGACAUCAUCCUUCCAUCAUUCUCCAUCAUCAUUUCCGGAGCUCACCCGACGGCGGAGCUGGCGACGCCCGCGCCCCGCCUGGCCGUCCAGCCUGCGCGCUCCGCCGCGCGCCGCGGGCCCGGCUCGCCGAGACGUCCGGCUUAGGUCGGCGUUUGAGGCGCGGCGGGGGGCAACGUCUCUGUGCCCUGCUCCGGGUCCCCGCCGCCUGCGGUCUCUUCUGCUGCCGCCACUGAGGGGAACGGCUCUUCUUUGAAGACAUCAUCGGUCGACGGUGAUGCUGGCGGGCCGGUGGCGGCGUGCCCCGUCGGCAGCGCGCCUGGGGAGGACGCUGGUGACGACGAAUCUUCAUCGCCGUCGGCACCGGUCGCGAGCGAGUCGCUGUUUAGUUGGCCUGCUACUGUGCCAAAAAGUGCGACUGUGGCCAGACUGGUAUACGAUUUGUCAGUGCUUACGCCCCUCUUGCCGUGCCGGCCGUGCUCUUUGCCGUCUAUUGGGAUGCGUUAGAGUUAUCGUUUUGGGGUUUAUACCGGUAUCAAGAUUGAUUUAAAAGAUGGAUUUCAUCACAUUUCUCGCGCACGUUCCACACGUCCUUUUGGUGUUUUGUAUGAUGGUAAAACGUGCUUAUACCUUUUCUCUGUUACCAAUGGGCCCUAUUAGGUACUGCAUCUCCUGCAUUAUUAGGUAGAGAUGCAGUACCAUUAUUAGGUACUGCAUUAUUAGGUACUGAAGGAGAUGCAGUUAGGUACUGCAUCUCCUUCGGAGAUGCAGUACCUAACAGAUGCUUUCAGUGAACUUGUAGAGUCGAGAUUUAACGUCAGGUGUUUGGCGUAUUUAGAUGAUUUUCUUUUCAUGUCCAAGGACGCUGAAUGGUAUCGCUGCGUUUCUGACUAGUGUUGGGUUGUGUAUUAAUUUCAAUAAAUUAGUUCUCGUUCCGUU
This is a long non-coding RNA of Amphibalanus amphitrite, 1270 nucleotides long. RefSeq lists it as uncharacterized. NCBI's taxonomy places the organism in Eukaryota, Metazoa, Arthropoda, Thecostraca, Balanomorpha, Balanidae. The record is from RefSeq and is a predicted model, not a curated record. The transcript has 2 exons.